RNAcentral lists this ribosomal RNA (186 nucleotides) under uncultured bacterium. Its description in RNAcentral is "partial 16S ribosomal RNA". It matches the Rfam family "Bacterial small subunit ribosomal RNA", at positions 171 to 353 of the family's 1533-position model. The record is from RNAcentral.
GCAUAAGACCACAGUACCGCAUGGUACAGUGAUCAAAGGAUUUAUUCGCUGAAGGAUGGCUUCGCGUCCGAUUAGGUAGUUGGUGAGGUAACGGCCCACCAAGCCUACGAUCGGUAGCCGGACUGAGGGGUUGAUCGGCCACAUUGGGACUGAGACACGGCCCAGACUCCUACGGGAGGCAGCAUG